AGAGUUUGAUCCUGGCUCAGAUUGAACGCUGGCGGCGUGCCUAACACAUGCAAGUCGAGCGGCAGCGCGGGAGCAAUCCUGGCGGCGAGCGGCGGACGGGUGAGUAACGCUUGGGAAUCUGCCUGUUAGUGGGGGAUAACUCGGGGAAACUCGAGCUAAUACCGCGUACGCACUACGGUGGAAAGCCGGGGACCGCAAGGCCUGGCGCUAACAGAUGAGCCCAAGUCGGAUUAGCUAGUUGGUAGGGUAACGGCCUACCAAGGCUACGAUCCGUAACUGGUCUGAGAGGACGACCAGUCACACCGGAACUGAGACACGGUCCGGACUCCUACGGGAGGCAGCAGUCGGGAAUUUUGGGCAAUGGGCGAAAGCCUGACCCAGCAACGCCGCGUGAAGGAUGAAAUCCCUCGGGAUGUAAACUUCGCAAGAACGGGAAGAAUAAGUGAGAGUUAAUAUCUCUCACGAUGACGGUACUGUUUGUAAGCUCCGGCUAACUCCGUGCCAGCAGCCGCGGUAAUACGGGGGGAGCAAGCGUUGUUCGGAUUUACUGGGCGUAAAGGGCGCGUAGGCGGCCACCGCAAGUCGACUGUGAUAUCUCCGGGCUUAACCCGGAACGGUCAGCCGAUACUGCGGGGCUAGAGUGCAGAAGGGGCAACUGGAAUUCUCGGUGUAGCGGUGAAAUGCGUAGAUAUCGAGAGGAACACCUGCGGCGAAGGCGGGUUGCUGGGCUGACACUGACGCUGAGGCGCGAAAGCUAGGGGAGCGAACGGGAUUAGAUACCCCGGUAGUCCUAGCCUUAAACGAUGAAU
Molecule: ribosomal RNA, 809 nt
Filed under: uncultured bacterium
Lineage: Bacteria
Description: bacterial SSU rRNA
Rfam family: Bacterial small subunit ribosomal RNA
Source: RNAcentral